RNAcentral lists this ribosomal RNA (1462 nucleotides) under uncultured organism. RNAcentral's name for it is "SSU rRNA". It matches the Rfam family "Bacterial small subunit ribosomal RNA". The record is from RNAcentral.
AACGCUGGCGGCAGGCCUAACACAUGCAAGUCGAACGGUAACAGGAAGCAGCUUGCUGCUUCGCUGACGAGUGGCGGACGGGUGAGUAAUGUCUGGGAAACUGCCUGAUGGAGGGGGAUAACUACUGGAAACGGUAGCUAAUACCGCAUAACGUCGCAAGACCAAAGAGGGGGACCUUCGGGCCUCUUGCCAUCGGAUGUGCCCAGAUGGGAUUAGCUAGUAGGUGGGGUAACGGCUCACCUAGGCGACGAUCCCUAGCUGGUCUGAGAGGAUGACCAGCCACACUGGAACUGAGACACGGUCCAGACUCCUACGGGAGGCAGCGGUGGGGAAUAUUGCACAAUGGGCGCAAGCCUGAUGCAGCCAUGCCGCGUGUAUGAAGAAGGCCUUCGGGUUGUAAAGUACUUUCAGCGGGGAGGAAGGCGGUGAGGUUAAUAACCUUGUCGAUUGACGUUACCCGCAGAAGAAGCACCGGCUAACUCCGUGCCAGCAGCCGCGGUAAUACGGAGGGUGCAAGCGUUAAUCGGAAUUACUGGGCGUAAAGCGCACGCAGGCGGUCUGUCAAGUCGGAUGUGAAAUCCCCGGGCUCAACCUGGGAACUGCAUUCGAAACUGGCAGGCUAGAGUCUUGUAGAGGGGGGUAGAAUUCCAGGUGUAGCGGUGAAAUGCGUAGAGAUCUGGAGGAAUACCGGUGGCGAAGGCGGCCCCCUGGACAAAGACUGACGCUCAGGUGCGAAAGCGUGGGGAGCAAACAGGGAUUAGAUACCCUGGUAGUCCACGCCGUAAACGAUGUCGACUUGGAGGUUGUGCCCUUGAGGCGUGGCUUCCGGAGCUAACGCGUUAAGUCGACCGCCUGGGGAGUACGGCCGCAAGGUUAAAACUCAAAUGAAUUGACGGGGGCCCGCACAAGCGGUGGAGCAUGUGGUUUAAUUCGAUGCAACGCGAAGAACCUUACCUACUCUUGACAUCCAGAGAACUUAGCAGAGAUGCUUUGGUGCCUUCGGGAACUCUGAGACAGGUGCUGCAUGGCUGUCGUCAGCUCGUGUUGUGAAAUGUUGGGUUAAGUCCCGCAACGAGCGCAACCCUUAUCCUUUGUUGCCAGCGGUCCGGCCGGGAACUCAAAGGAGACUGCCAGUGAUAAACUGGAGGAAGGUGGGGAUGACGUCAAGUCAUCAUGGCCCUUACGAGUAGGGCUACACACGUGCUACAAUGGCGCAUACAAAGAGAAGCGACCUCGCGAGAGCAAGCGGACCUCAUAAAGUGCGUCGUAGUCCGGAUUGGAGUCUGCAACUCGACUCCAUGAAGUCGGAAUCGCUAGUAAUCGUGGAUCAGAAUGCCACGGUGAAUACGUUCCCGGGCCUUGUACACACCGCCCGUCACACCAUGGGAGUGGGUUGCAAAAGAAGUAGGUAGCUUAACCUUCGGGAGGGCGCUUACCACUUUGUGAUUCAUGACUGGGGUGA